Molecule: ribosomal RNA, 1698 nt
Filed under: Scomberomorus semifasciatus (broadbarred king mackerel)
Lineage: Eukaryota; Metazoa; Chordata; Actinopteri; Scombriformes; Scombridae
Also listed under: 1 other name
Description: 16S ribosomal RNA
Rfam family: Bacterial large subunit ribosomal RNA (bases 98-1619)
Source: RNAcentral
CGCCAACUAGCUAGCCCACCCCUACAAGAACAACAAUUCAAUCUAAAUAAACCCAAACACACGCCACCCCAGUUAAACAAAUCAUUUUACCCCCCUAGUAUGGGCGACAGAAAAGGAACUAUUGGAGCGAUAGAGAAAGUACCGCAAGGGAACGCUGAAAAAGUAAAUGAAAAAAACCAGUGAAGCCUAAAAAAGCAGAGAUUUUACCUCGUACCUUUUGCAUCAUGAUUUAGCCAGUACUACCCAAGCAAAGAGAACUUUAGUUUGAGCCCCCGAAACUACGUGAGCUACUCCAAGACAGCCUAUCAAUAGGGCAAACCCGUCUCUGUGGCAAAAGAGUGGGAAGAGCUUUGAGUAGAGGUGACAGACCUACCGAACCUAGUUAUAGCUGGUUGCCUGAGAAUUGGAUAGGAGUUCAGCCUCCAGGUUUCUUUCUUCGCCACGGUUAAGUCCUCAUACCGAUACCUUUCAAAGAAGCCUAGAGAGUUAAUCAAAGGGGGUACAGCCCCUUUGAGACAAGAUACAACUUUUCCAGGAGGGUAAAGAUCAUAUUUAUUCAAGGUUACAAUGCCCAGGUGGGCCUAAGAGCAGCCAUCCUAGUAGAAAGCGUUAAAGCUCAAGCAUUAAACUCUACCCAUAUAUUUCGAUAAUCAAGUCCCAACCCCCUAACAUUAUCAGGCCAUCUCAUGCCCCCAUGAGAGCGCUUAUGCUAAUAUGAGUAACAAGAGAGCAUCCGCCUCUCUCCUUGCACACGUGUAAAUCGGAACGAACCCCCACCGAAAUUUAACGGCCCCAAACAAAGAGGGUAAUGAACAACAAGCGAACAACCAGAAAACCAUCCAACAUACAACCGUUAACCCUACACUGGUGUGCCUAAAAGGAAAGACUAAAAGAAAAAGAAGGAACUCGGCAAACAAUAAAAGCCUCGCCUGUUUACCAAAAACAUCGCCUCUUGCAAAAACAAAGAAUAAGAGGUCCCGCCUGCCCUGUGACUAUAUGUUCAACGGCCGCGGUAUUUUAACCGUGCGAAGGUAGCGCAAUCACUUGUCUUUUAAAUGGAGACCUGUAUGAAUGGCAUUACGAGGGCUUAACUGUCUCCUUUUUCAAGUCAGUGAAAUUGAUCUCCCCGUGCAGAAGCGGGGAUACAUCUAUAAGACGAGAAGACCCUAUGGAGCUUUAGACACCAAGACAUAUCACGUUAAACACCCCUGAAUAAAGGACUAAACCGAGUGACCCAUGUCCCUAUGUCUUUGGUUGGGGCGACCACGGGGAAAUAAAAAACCCCCGAGUGGACAGGGAGUUUGACCUCCUAAAACCAAGAGCUGCAGCUCUAAGAAACAGAAUUUCUGACCUAUAAGAUCCGGCAACGCCGAUCAACGGACCGAGUUACCCUAGGGAUAACAGCGCAAUCCCCUUUUAGAGCCCAUAUCGACAAGGGGGUUUACGACCUCGAUGUUGGAUCAGGACAUCCUAAUGGUGCAGCCGCUGUUAAGGGUUCGUUUGUUCAACGAUUAAAGUCCUACGUGAUCUGAGUUCAGACCGGAGCAAUCCAGGUCAGUUUCUAUCUAUAAAAUGUUCUUUUCUAGUACGAAAGGACCGAAGAGAAGAGGCCUAUACUCAAAGCACGCCUCACCCCUCCUGUUGAAAACAACUAAAAUAGGCAAAAGGGCAUAUCCCUUAUGUCUAAGAUAAUGGCAU